UACGGAGGGGGCUAGCGUUGUUCGGAAUUACUGGGCGUAAAGCGCACGUAGGCGGAUGUUUAAGUCGGGGGUGAAAUCCCGGGGCUCAACCCCGGAAUGGCCUUCGAUACUGGACGUCUGGAGGUCGGGAGAGGCGAGUGGAAUUCCGAGUGUAGAGGCGAAAUUCGUAGAUAUUCGGAGGAACACCAGUGGCGAAGGCGGCUCGCUGGCCCGAUACUGACGCUGAGGUGCGAAAGCGUGGGGAGCAAACAGG
This 253-nucleotide ribosomal RNA is filed under the name uncultured bacterium. RNAcentral describes it as "partial 16S ribosomal RNA". It matches the Rfam family "Bacterial small subunit ribosomal RNA", at positions 524 to 776 of the family's 1533-position model. The record is from RNAcentral.